GAUGAACGCUAGCGGCAGGCCUAAUACAUGCAAGUCGAACGGUAGGUUAAAUGCUUGCAUUUAACUGAGAGUGGCGCACGGGUGCGUAACGCGUAUGCAACCUACCCUUAACAGGGGGAUAGCCCGGAGAAAUUCGGAUUAAUACCCCAUAGUAUCUUUUGAUGGCAUCUGAAGAAGAUUAAAGAUUUAUUGGUUAAGGAUGGGCAUGCGUGACAUUAGUUAGUUGGUGAGGUAAUGGCUCACCAAGACGAUGAUGUCUAGGGGUUCUGAGAGGAUGAUCCCCCACACUGGUACUGAGAUACGGACCAGACUCCUACGGGAGGCAGCAGUAGGGAAUAUUGGUCAAUGGGCGAGAGCCUGAACCAGCCAUGCCGCGUGCAGGAAGACGGCCUUCUGGGUUGUAAACUGCUUUUAUCAGGGAACAAAUAGGCCAUGCGUGGCAAGUUGAGUGUACCUGAAGAAUAAGCACCGGCUAACUCCG
RNAcentral lists this ribosomal RNA (481 nucleotides) under uncultured Fulvivirga sp. RNAcentral describes it as "bacterial SSU rRNA". It matches the Rfam family "Bacterial small subunit ribosomal RNA", at positions 28 to 505 of the family's 1533-position model. Lineage: Bacteria; Pseudomonadati; Bacteroidota; Cytophagia; Cytophagales; Fulvivirgaceae. The record is from RNAcentral.